Molecule: unclassified non-coding RNA, 608 nt
Filed under: Hevea brasiliensis (rubber tree)
Lineage: Eukaryota; Viridiplantae; Streptophyta; Magnoliopsida; Malpighiales; Euphorbiaceae
Source: RNAcentral
GCCUUAGCUAGAACUAAUACAGCUCCUACCCCUUGAGAUGAAUCUCUCCACGAGGAUUGGUUAUUUUCCUGUUGUCGUGCAUUGGAUGGAUACGACUCACGAGCUGGGUCCCGAUACCUCUCCUCUCCACCAGCUGGCUUACGCCAAUCACGACUGUCCGGUUCAUAGUUGCGGCUCUGUGCCUGACUUGAAAAAUUGGCAUCAUUUCGCGCCCAAGGUUGCUCAACACCAAAAAAUUCAGUAUCAAUUUCACUCUUGACUUUCAGUAUCUCCUCAGAAGCUUCGGUAGCCCCGCGGUGUAGUAGCAGUUGAUCCCUUGUAUACUGAACUCGCUCAUGAGCCUCAUACCGCGAAUCGCCACUCUUGAGUUGGAGGGCACCGCCAUGGGGGCGGAGGACGGGGAUAUCGCCGCCUGCGGCGGCGGCAGCAGCAGCGAACGCGGGGGAGUCGAAGCGGGGGGCGAGGACUCUGCUGCCGCGGUUGCCGCCACCACCAGGCCUCAGGCUCAGCACCGUCUGAUCUGCCUGCAUACCUCGCCGGAAAACUGUCGCUUGCGGUGUCGUCGGUCGGAGGGGGAACGGCUCUCUCUGGCUCUCCGUUCGGCGGAG